Molecule: long non-coding RNA, 296 nt
Filed under: Macaca fascicularis (crab-eating macaque)
Lineage: Eukaryota; Metazoa; Chordata; Mammalia; Primates; Cercopithecidae
Description: lncRNA (ENSMFAG00000064529.1)
Source: RNAcentral
AGAUAGACAGUCUGGGGUGGAGAGGGAAGUGAGACCCCAUGGGUGAUCUCUACAGUUAUGUAACUGUCCAGCCACAAAUCACUUAUCAAAGAACUGGAUUCAGAAGACCAAGAUCUGCAUUUGGGUCACUCCAGUUAUCUUGAGAUCUGGGACCCGUGGGGCUGGGGUGGCAGCCGAUCAUGUCAGGAGGACUCCUCUGCACAGCAUCACAAGCACAGGAGAGAAUGCUAAACUUGAUUGGGAGCUCACAGAAGACCCCUGGAACCCAGAGCAAUAAGCACCUCUCCUUCAAAGAC